Molecule: RNA transcript, 4266 nt
Organism: Syngnathus typhle (broad-nosed pipefish)
Lineage: Eukaryota; Metazoa; Chordata; Actinopteri; Syngnathiformes; Syngnathidae
Gene name: glycerol kinase-like
Exons: 23
Source: RefSeq, a predicted model, not a curated record
CUGACGUCAUCACCAAGCGCCGAAGAGACGCAAAAGGUCGGUGCCUGACUGACUACACGCCCUUUUGAAUUGUCCUGUAGCUGGAGUAGGGCAACCGGCUUUGGGUCCAACUGCGGGGCUUCGGUGCUGCGGGGCUCCCCAUGAUCAGCACCAUGGCUGGGUCGUCACACCGCGUAACGCUCGGACCGCUGGUUGCUGCCAUCGACCAGGGCACCAGUUCCACACGCUUCUUGGUGUUCAAUUCCAAAACGGCAGAACUCCUCAGCCAUCACCAGGUGGAGAUAAAACAGAGCUUCCCCAAAGAAGGAUGGGUGGAGGAAGACCCCAAAGAAAUCUUGCAGUCUGUGUACGAGUGCAUGGAACGUACAUGUGAAAAGCUCACACAACUCAAUAUCGACAUCGCAAAUAUUAAAGCGAUUGGAGUGACCAACCAAAGAGAAACCACACUCGUUUGGGACAAAGAAACCGGGGAGCCGCUGUACAACGCAAUCGUUUGGCUUGACCUGCGGACUCAAUCCACAGUUGAGAGUCUGAUCAACAAAACACCCGGGAGGAAUAAAAACCACUUGAAGCAUAAAACAGGCCUCCCCAUCAGCACUUACUUCAGCGCGGUGAAACUUCGCUGGUUGAUGGACAAUGUCGACGACGUUCACAAAGCCGUGCUUUGUCACCGCGCCAUGUUUGGCACCGUGGACUCUUGGCUCAUUUGGUGUUUAACCGGAGGCAAAUCCGGAGGGGUCCACUGCACCGAUGUGACCAAUGCCAGCCGGACCAUGUUGUUCAACAUUCACACAAUGGACUGGGACCCGGAGCUGUGCAAAUAUUUUGGCAUCCCAAUGGAGAUUCUGCCCCGAGUGAGAAGUUCUUCUGAAAUCUACGGCCUCAUGAAAAUAAGUUCUAGCUGGAAAUCAGGAGCGCUUUCCGGCAUUCCCAUUUCAGGGUGUCUUGGCGAUCAGUCGGCAGCGCUGGUUGGACAGAUGUGCUUCCAGGACGGGCAAGCCAAAAACACGUAUGGAACAGGCUGCUUUUUGCUGCGCAACACUGGCCCCAAGCCUGUCAUGUCCGAGCACGGGCUUCUCACCACCGUGGCUUACAAACUGGGUCGAGACAAACCCGCCUGCUACGCCUUAGAGGGUUCCGUGGCCAUCGCGGGAGCCGUGGUCCGUUGGCUGCAGGAUAAUCUCGGCAUCAUCGAGUCGUCCGAGGAGCUCGAGAAAUUGGCCGCAUCGGUUGGGACAUCCUACGGUUGUUAUUUUGUUCCUGCUUUCUCGGGCCUUUAUGCGCCGUACUGGGAGCCCAGUGCGAGAGGGGUCAUUUGCGGCUUAACCCAGUUUACAAAUAAGAGUCACCUCGCUUUCGCCGCCUUGGAAGCGGUCUGCUUCCAGACACGAGAGAUUCUGGACGCCAUGAAUCAGGACAGCGGCAUCCCACUCACCCAGCUGCAGGUGGACGGGGGUAUGACGUCCAACAGGUUGCUGAUGCAGCUACAGGCCGACAUACUCUGCAUCCCUGUCGUGAAACCAUCCAUGCCGGAGACUACCGCUCUGGGCGCAGCGAUGGCGGCCGGCGCAGCGGAGGGCGUGAGCGUGUGGAGUUUGAACCCGGACGACUUGAGCGAAGUCACGUCGGAGAAGUUUGAGCCUCAGAUCAACCCCGAAGAAAGCGAGUUUCGCUAUGCCCGCUGGAAGAAAGCCGUUCAGAAGUCAAUGAACUGGGAGACCACCGAGCUUCCCACGAAUGGAAAUGGUGAAUGCAGCAUCUUCUGCAGUGCCCCGCUGGGCUUCUACAUCAUGGGCAGCAUGCUGAUGCUCAUUGGAGCCAAUUACAUUGCAGGGCACAACUAGUCUCCUGGCAGAGACCCCCCACCCCCCCCCGUCCACUCCACAACUGACAAUUAAUGCCCUCCUGCUGAUGGAGGGCCUCUCCAUGCUUCUCACCGAACAGGAAGACAUACUCAGCGUGAGCAAAUGUAAAGAGUGUAUCGAGCGGCGCCUCACCGCCUUGCAGUCCGGGCUCUGCGUUUGAGAAAAAAACGCGUCACCCCCAUCGUUGUCGACAAACUUCAUCUCAGCACAUCACGUCCAGUCAAACAUCAACUUCACCUCCCUGAAAGAAAAAAAAAAAAAUACAACUCGAGCUGCGGACAUGGGCAUGCCUUUCUGUGAAACUGAUGUCGGUCAAGAUGCACCUCGCUGCAUUCGGACUCGUUUGAGAGACCCCACCUCAGCCCCAAUUGAGGCGACAUGCAGGAGCAGUUAUGGCCAAGUUGUCAUAAAUAUACACACAUAUGUACUCCAGCGUACAUUUUGACGAUGGACAAGUCAAAUGCAGCGGACAACUGAACUGUCUUCACGCUUCACCUUUACAGAAGCUGCACCCCGACACGGAGCUACAGUAGACAAAAAAGCUGGGCGUGGCCAAGUAUCAUCCUCAUCAUGUUAUGUAUGUUCACAUGAUACCACUUUGAGUGCUUGUUUCAAACCCGUUCGUUACUCGCUCGCUUACAUUGUACGAUAACAUUGCGACAAACUGGAGAGGAAUUACCGCCAAGAUGAAUUUAAAAUCCUUUUUAUAAUAUUUUUCCAUUUUAGCUCCCACCGCUCAAUUUGACACUUUACCGACUUGCUUUUCCAUGAAGAAGGCGAUGCAAAAAAUAUUUCCAACAUUGCGUCAAAGAGGGUCCAAAAAAAAGGCAGAUGUUAGAAUCUGUGGUUGUCAUUACGCUAACGAUGCUCCGCUAACCGGUGCACGUUUGUUUGUCUUUGUGUGCAGUUCCUAAAUCAUCCUUAUUUCUUUCUUUGACAUUAUUUGUAUUUUAUCAAUCAUCGCCGUGAAGCAAGUAUAAUCAAAAUGCGGAAUGUACGGGGACAGGAGAGAAGCCGCGUCAGGCUGCCUGAAUGUUUUUGCACUGUUGAAGUACCGUACAGAGUGGAAGGCGCAACAAACGUCAAAUAUUGUUUUGUUUGUUUGCUUGACUGACGAGCUCAUUUCGAUUCCUACUGCCGCACACACACGUUGCGCAAUUGUAUCAUAGUUACUGUGUGUUUGGUGUGAGCGUGUCCAUUAACGGAGGGAUGCUGCAAACGCAGAGAACGUUUUUCUUUAAGAACAUAACGGAAAAAGCUUUAUGGUGACGAGGGUUUCAAAAAAAAAAAAAAAGAUAUAUCGCGUUUUCUUUUUUGGGCUUCAGCGUAGUCAAUAGGCGACAAUUCUGUCCUGAAUUUGAAAUGUGUUUGCAGUGCUUAUUUGAAAUAUUUGAUCUGAAUUAUUGCUUGUUUUCUUUUUAAUGAACUCCAGGCGUAACUCCGAAUCCCAAUCAGAUUUUUAAAAAUAAUUUGGAGAUGGUUGAUGUCUGUGUUGCCUGCGUUCAAAGGUGUACAUUGUUGUAUGCAUGCAAGCAUGUGUGGGGGAGGCUUGUGAGAAAUGUUGAACCUGACCUAAUCCCCCCCCCCCCCCCUCAUGAAACGAAGUAAUCAGAUCGGUGACGAAGGAGUAGGGCCACAAUCAUGAAAUUGAAACUUGCAAUUUAUUGUAAACAUACAACAUUAAUAUUGUGAUUUUGAAGUUAUAAAGAUGUUCAUAAUUCAAAAAGCUCACGACAGUUUACAAAGAUGACCAGAAUGAAAGCUUUUUCCUCCUCCAGAGGCCUUUUGUCAUAUGAAAAUAUAUAUUGGGUAUAUUUCUUUCCACGAGCAUGUGUCAAAUGAUUGAGUUGUGCAUUCCUAUUUUCGGCUCAUCCCAGCCCUGCUCAGUCAAUAUACACCAGUGAGGGCAAAUUAUUUUUUUUCUCCCCCCUACAAUCAUUGCUACUGGCCAUCCCGAUUAUUCGCAACUCUGGUCACCAUGAAGAGAAUGCUUGCAUGCAUUGAGGUAACUUUAUGGCGGGGGGGGGGCUCAUGUAUUGUAUUCUGCUGUGAUGUUCUUGAGCAGGAUGUUGACAAGGUUUGCGCUCUCCUGCAAAGAGUCCAAAAGUUUUGAGUCUGUGUGUAAAAACCACGCCCGAAUGUUGUCAUUUAUUUGUGUUUAGUAUCACUUCUAGGAAUUGUAAAUUAAGUUAUUGCCGUCAUGGUAUUUAUGGAUCUGCGGGUGCGGAGGGGAACAGUACCACACCAUUUAAUAUUGUCUGUUUUUCCAAAAGGCUUUCUGCUGAACUUGCAGCAAGGCAUUUUCACAUUGUCACAUAUGGCAAGACACUAUCUCAAUGUCCCUGUGUGUAAUAUAACCCUUACUGUUGCAACAUGAAUAAUUUUAAAGGAAUGGAGAUGA